UACGAAGGGGGCUAGCGUUGCUCGGAAUCACUGGGCGUAAAGCGCACGUAGGCGGCUUCUUAAGUCAGGGGUGAAAUCCUGGAGCUCAACUCCAGAACUGCCUUUGAUACUGAAGAUCUUGAGUUCGGGAGAGGUGAGUGGAACUGCGAGUGUAGAGGUGAAAUUCGUAGAUAUUCGCAAGAACACCAGUGGCGAAGGCGGCUCACUGGCCCAUUACUGACGCUGAGGCACGAAAGCGUGGGGAGCAAACAGG
This 253-nucleotide ribosomal RNA is filed under the name uncultured bacterium. RNAcentral's name for it is "partial 16S ribosomal RNA". It matches the Rfam family "Bacterial small subunit ribosomal RNA", at positions 524 to 776 of the family's 1533-position model. The record is from RNAcentral.